Theobroma umbraticum is the source of this 3858-nucleotide non-coding RNA. The record is from RefSeq and is a predicted model, not a curated record. NCBI's taxonomy places the organism in Eukaryota, Viridiplantae, Streptophyta, Magnoliopsida, Malvales, Malvaceae.
UACACCCCGGUGUCGAAACGCUAACUUCUUGUAUGCAUCAAACCUAAAGCAUCAAAAACUCUCUUUGAGCAAACUAAAGCCCUUGUUGGCGCCGUUAUCUCAACUUCGCAUCGCAGCCAUGUUGCAGUCUCAGCAACCCGAUAAGAAGCCGGAGACUGAAGGAGACCUUGAACGCAAGAAGAAGAAAGAAGAAAAAGCGAGGGAGAAGGAACUGAAGAAACUCAAGGCUAUAGAAAAAGCAGAGUUGGCCAAACUUAAGGCACAACAAGGAUCGAAUGCUCCGAAAAAGAGUGCAAAGAAAAAUGCCAAGCGAGAAGCGGAUGAGGAGAAUCCACAGGAUUUUGUGGAUCCAGAUACUCCUUUGGGUGAGAAAAAGAGACUCUCUUCUCAGAUGGCCAAACAAUACAGUCCAUCUGCUGUGGAGAAGUCAUGGUAUGCGUGGUGGGAGAAAUCAGGGUUUUUUCAGGCUGAUGCAAGCAGCUCAAAAUCACCUUUUGUGAUUGUUCUUCCUCCUCCAAAUGUGACUGGGGCCCUGCACAUUGGCCAUGCCCUCACUAGUGCCAUACAGGACACAAUGAUUCGCUGGAGAAGAAUGUCUGGAUAUAAUGCAUUGUGGGUACCCGGUGUGGACCAUGCUGGGAUAGCUACACAGGUGGUUGUGGAGAAAAAGCUAAUGCGUGAAAGAUGCUUAACGAGGCAUGAUGUUGGUCGUGAAGAAUUUGUAAAUGAAGUUUGGAAGUGGAAGACUGAGAAUGGUGUUACCAUUCUGAGACAGCUAAGGUGUAUGGGUGCCUCCCUUGAUUGGUCUCGUGAGUGCUUUACGAUGGACGAGAAGAGGUCGAAGGCUGUGACGGAAGCUUUUUGUCGUCUUUAUAAGGAGGGUCUUAUUUAUAGGGAUCUAAGGUUAGUGAAUUGGGAUUGUGUCUUGCGAACUGCUAUCUCUGAUAUUGAGGUAGAUUAUACAGACAUCAAAGAAAGGACUUUGUUAAAGGUCCCUGGUUACGGAAAGCCAGUGGAGUUUGGUGUAUUGACAUCAUUUGCUUACCCUUUGGAGGGAGAGCUGGGUGAAAUUGUUGUUGCCACUACAAGAGUGGAAACAAUGCUUGGUGAUACAGCUAUAGCUAUUCAUCCGGAUGACAAGAGGUACAGUCAUCUGCAUGGGAAAUUUGCAGUUCAUCCUUUCAAUGGGAGAAAACUCCCAAUAAUCUGUGAUGCAAUUCUAGUUGAUCCGAGUUUUGGAACUGGUGCAGUUAAGAUAACUCCAGCUCAUGAUCCAAAUGAUUUUGAGGUUGGGAAGCGCCAUAACCUUGAAUUUAUUAACAUUUUUACUGAUGAUGGGAAAAUAAAUAGCAAUGGUGGACCAGAAUUUGCUGGAAUGCCACGGUUUAAGGCUCGUGAGGCUGUGAUUGAAGCAUUGCAGAAGAAGAAAUUGUAUAGAGGAGCUCAAAAUAAUGAGAUGCGACUUGGCCUGUGUUCAAGAAGUAAUGAUGUUGUGGAGCCGAUGAUAAAGGCCCAGUGGUAUGUUAAUUGCAGUAGCAUGGCAAAGCAGGCUCUUGAUGCAGCCAUGGAUGAUGAAAACAGGAAGCUUGAGUUCAUUCCAAAGCAGUAUACUGCUGAAUGGAAAAGAUGGCUUGAGAACAUACGUGAUUGGUGUAUUUCAAGGCAGCUUUGGUGGGGUCACCGUAUUCCUGCAUGGUAUGUGACACUGGAAGAUGAUGAAAUGAAGGAACUUGGUGCAUAUAAUGAUCACUGGAUGGUUGCUAGAGAUGAGGAACAGGCUCUAGCAGAAGCUAAGAAGAAAUUUCCUGGGAAGAAAUUUGAGAUGUUGCGAGAUCCUGAUGUACUUGACACUUGGUUUUCUUCUGGUCUUUUCCCAUUAUCUGUGUUGGGAUGGCCAGAUGAUACAGAUGAUCUAAAAGCAUUUUAUCCAACUUCAGUCCUUGAAACUGGGCAUGACAUUCUUUUUUUUUGGGUUGCUCGAAUGGUUAUGUUGGGAAUUAUGUUGGGAGGUGACAUACCAUUCAGGAAGGUUUACUUACAUCCUAUGAUCCGAGAUGCACAUGGGCGUAAGAUGUCAAAGUCUUUGGGAAAUGUAAUAGAUCCUCUUGAAGUAAUAAAUGGAAUAUCACUUGAAGGUCUUCACAAAAGGCUGGAGGAGGGUAACUUGGAUCCUAAUGAGCUGGUCACUGCCAAAGCAGGGCAGGUGAAAGAUUUUCCCAAUGGUAUUGCUGAAUGUGGUGCAGAUGCUCUCCGGUUUGCUCUUGUUUCUUACACUGCUCAGUCUGAUAAAAUAAAUUUGGAUAUCCAAAGAGUGGUUGGCUAUCGACAAUGGUGUAACAAAUUAUGGAAUGCUGUUCGUUUUGCUAUGAGCAAACUUCCAGAUGACUAUACUCCUCCACCAACCAUAAAUCUGGGGACGAUGCCUUUCAGUUGUCGUUGGAUACUCUCAGUGUUGAACAAGGCUAUAUCAAAAACUGUUAUGUCAUUAAAUGCAUAUGAAUUCUCAGAUGCUGCGACCAGUGUGUAUUCAUGGUGGCAGUAUCAAUUCUGCGACAUUUUCAUUGAAGCAAUCAAGCCUUACUUUGCUGGUGAUAAUCCAGCCUUUUCCUCUGAAAGGAAUUCUGCACAAGAUGCUCUUUGGGUUUGUCUGGAAAGUGGCCUGCGAUUACUUCAUCCAUUGAUGCCAUUUGUUACUGAAGAACUGUGGCAACGUCUUCCAGGAGUAAAGAGCCACACAAGGAAGGAAUCUAUAAUGAUAUGUGAAUACCCAUCACCAAUAGAGAGUUGGACAAAUGAAAGGGUGGAAUAUGAAAUGGAUCUAGUGGAGUCCACUGUAAGGUCUUUUAGGUCACUUAGAGCAGAGCUGCUUGCUAAGCAGAAGAAUGAAAGGUUACCUGCCUUUGCAUUCUGUCAAAAUGAGGAAGUGGCAGAAAUCAUUAGAUCUUGUGAAUUAGAGAUCUUAACCCUUGCCACGUUAUCAUCAUUAAAGGUUCUACUGAGUGGUGUAGAUGAGGCUCCAGCUGGAUGUGCAUUUGAGAAUGUCAAUGAAAACCUUAAAGUUUAUCUUAAGGUUCACGGAGCUCUAAAUGCAGAAGCAGAACGUGAGAAGAUCAGGAAUAAGAUGGAUGAAAUACUGAAGCAGCAGGAGAAGUUGAGGAAGAUAAUGAAUGCAUCUGGGUAUCAAGAAAAGGUUCCAGCUCAUAUCCAAGAAGAGAAUGCUACAAAGCUGGCAAAACUUCUCCAAGAAUUUGAAUUUUUCAAAAAAGAAAGUGGGCGAAUGGAAUCUGACGCAGAGCAGCAAAAAACGAGUCAUUCACCUUACUUCCAUCAGAGAAGAUCUUCGUUAUGUCUUUGAUAAUGGUGACCUUUGAUCGGCGUUUAUCUACCUUCCACCAAAUGGCAGAGGUGUCAAAAAGAAGAAUUUUAGUAAAAGAAGGAGAGCAAUUUCAAGGUGUAGACUUUCACUACCCAUAUUUUGGCACUUUUGGUCAUUAUAUGUGAAGAGCCUGAAAUUUGGAAUUGUUCCUUUUGAUCCAAAAAUUCAAAAAACUUUUUCGUAGACUUUGAAAGAAAAAUAAAAAAAUUUCUGCUUCAAGUAAAAUAAUAGCUGAUCAACAAGAGGAAGAGAUUAAGCCUUUGAGGGAUUAUACAGUCCCUCAAGUAUAAAAUCUCCACUCUAGUAUCCGAAAACUUCCUAUUCAAGCAAUAAUUUUGAAAUUAAGCCUUCAAUCAUUCAGAUGAUUCAGACUACUGAUCAGUUUGGGCGUUUGCCCAAUAAUGAUCCGAAUGCUCAUAUUGUAAAUUUUUUGAAAAUCUGCUAUAUAUUCAAGGCUAAUGGUGUUACUGAUGAUGCCAUAA